UAUAUGUUGAUGUACAGUGCAUGAAAGAUUUUGAUUCUUUGAGAUUUGGUGCGAGCCCAAGACAUAUAA
Molecule: transfer RNA, 69 nt
Filed under: Leptestheria brevirostris
Lineage: Eukaryota; Metazoa; Arthropoda; Branchiopoda; Diplostraca; Leptestheriidae
Description: tRNA-Gln
Source: RNAcentral